GAUGAACGCUGGCGGCGUGCCUAAUACAUGCAAGUCGAGCGAACAGACGAGGAGCUUGCUCCUCUGACGUUAGCGGCGGACGGGUGAGUAACACGUGGAUAACCUACCUAUAAGACUGGGAUAACUUCGGGAAACCGGAGCUAAUACCGGAUAAUAUAUUGAACCGCAUGGUUCAAUAGUGAAAGACGGUUUUGCUGUCACUUAUAGAUGGAUCCGCGCCGCAUUAGCUAGUUGGUAAGGUAACGGCUUACCAAGGCGACGAUGCGUAGCCGACCUGAGAGGGUGAACGGCCACACUGGAACUGAGACACGGUCCAGACUCCUACGGGAGGCAGCAGUAGGGAAUCUUCCGCAAUGGGCGAAAGCCUGACGGAGCAACGCCGCGCGAGUGAUGAAGGUCUUCGGAUCGUAAAACUCUGUUAGUAGGGAAGAACAAAUGUGUAAGUAACUAUGCACGUCUUGACGGUACCUAAUCAGAAAGCCACGGCUAACUACGUG
This 497-nucleotide ribosomal RNA is filed under the name uncultured bacterium. RNAcentral's name for it is "partial 16S ribosomal RNA". It matches the Rfam family "Bacterial small subunit ribosomal RNA", at positions 28 to 507 of the family's 1533-position model. The record is from RNAcentral.